GUGGGGAAUUUUGGACAAUGGGCGCAAGCCUGAUCCAGCAAUGCCGCGUGUGUGAAGAAGGUCUUCGGAUUGUAAAGCACUUUAAGUUGGGAGGAAGGGCAGUAAGUUAAUACCUUGCUGUUUUGACGUUACCGACAGAAUAAGCACCGGCUAACUUCGUGCCAGCAGCCGCGGUAAUACGAAGGGUGCAAGCGUUAAUCGGAAUUACUGGGCGUAAAGCGCGCGUAGGUGGUUUUGUAAGUUGGAGGUGAAAUCCCCGGGCUCAACCUGGGAACUGCCUCCAAAACUGCAUGACUAGAGUACGGUAGAGGGUAGUGGAAUUUCCUGUGUAGCGGUGAAAUGCGUAGAUAUAGGAAGGAACACCAGUGGCGAAGGCGACUACCUGGACUGAUACUGACACUGAGGUGCGAAAGCGUGGGGAGCAAACAGGAUUAGAUACCCGUGUAGUCC
RNAcentral lists this ribosomal RNA (450 nucleotides) under uncultured bacterium. RNAcentral's name for it is "partial 16S ribosomal RNA". It matches the Rfam family "Bacterial small subunit ribosomal RNA", at positions 354 to 796 of the family's 1533-position model. The record is from RNAcentral.